Pseudomyrmex gracilis is the source of this 589-nucleotide long non-coding RNA. RefSeq lists it as uncharacterized. Lineage: Eukaryota; Metazoa; Arthropoda; Insecta; Hymenoptera; Formicidae. The record is from RefSeq and is a predicted model, not a curated record. The transcript has 3 exons.
AUGGCCAUGCCAUGACCACGAGCUGGCCGGUCAAAUCUUUCAUCACUUGGCCAAGAUGGAAACCGCAUGCCGCACGCCGUGCGCGAGUUGGAAGGAUCUGGAUUAGAUGGAAAGAGCAGGUCAUCGAUUGUCUGGUCCUGUUCGGUUAUUACUAGCAGUACUGAAAAAUUUUGAUAUAAAAUAUGUAACGUGAACCUAUAAAUUUUCAGUAUUUCCAGACUUCCAGUAAUAACCGAACAGAACCUCUGUAUUACGCAAUGUAACGAAAAUUUAUAAAAAUGAGCAAAUUUAAUAAAAUAUCUAUGAUCUUUAUUAAUUAACAACUAGUACUCACUUUUGUAAUUUUCACUACAUUGCACAAUCGACCUCUAAAAGUUAGGAUGAACAGAUUAUUCGAAGUGCUUCUAUAUAUAGGCAACAGAUAUUUUAAAAGGUGAAGGAGAAAGUUACAUACUAGAAAAGUCUGUUUUUUGUUCCGGAGACUGCCACACAAUUGGAAAUGUUUCAGAGAUCAUGUGUGUCUUCCAGAUAUAAGUUUAUGAUUAAUUAUAAGAUAUAAUAUAAGAAUUAAAUAUUAAAAUUAUAUGGC